UGGGGAAUAUUGCACAAUGGGCGCAAGCCUGAUGCAGCCAUGCCGCGUGUAUGAAGAAGGCCUUCGGGUUGUAAAGUACUUUCAGCGGGGAGGAAGGGAGUAAAGUUAAUACCUUUGCUCAUUGACGUUACCCGCAGAAGAAGCACCGGCUAACCCCGUGCCAGCAGCCGCGGUAAUACGGAGGGUGCAAGCGUUAAUCGGAAUUACUGGGCGUAAAGCGCACGCAGGCGGUCUGUCCAGUCGGAUGUGAAAUCCCCGGGCUCAACCUGGGAACUGCAUUCGAAACUGGCAGGCCAGAGUCUUGUAGAGGGGGGUAGAAUUCCAGGUGUAGCGGUGAAAUGCGUAGAGAUCUGGAGGAAUACCGGUCGCGAAGGCGACCCCCUGGACAAAGACCGACGCUCAGGUGCGAAAGCGUGGGGAGCAAACAGG
RNAcentral lists this ribosomal RNA (429 nucleotides) under Chloroflexota bacterium. RNAcentral describes it as "Chloroflexi bacterium partial 16S ribosomal RNA". It matches the Rfam family "Bacterial small subunit ribosomal RNA", at positions 355 to 776 of the family's 1533-position model. The record is from RNAcentral. Lineage: Bacteria; Bacillati; Chloroflexota.